GGAGAGGUGCGAGAGUGGUUGAAUCGGGCGGUCUCGAAAACCGUUAAGGCAGCAAUGCCUAUCGAGGGUUCGAAUCCCUCCCUCUCCU
This 88-nucleotide transfer RNA is filed under the name Ignavibacteria bacterium. Its description in RNAcentral is "tRNA-Ser". It matches the Rfam family "tRNA". Rfam says of the family: Transfer RNA (tRNA) molecules are approximately 80 nucleotides in length. Their secondary structure includes four short double-helical elements and three loops (D, anti-codon, and T loops). Lineage: Bacteria; Pseudomonadati; Ignavibacteriota; Ignavibacteria. The record is from RNAcentral.